GAUUACAUCAAGUAGGUGAUUACUAUGUCAGCUAAAAAGGUCAAGUUCCAUACUUUUUAUUUCAAACCAUCAUAAAGAAACCUUUCUAUAAUGACACACGUCUAUACUGUAGAUCUCUCCAUACUCACUUUAAAAAAGCUUCUAUCUGACAUAUGGCUUAAUGUAUAAAAAUUCUGUAUUUUGGUAAUUAAUACACUGUUAAUAUUGCGAUGAAAGAGAAAUACUCACGAACUCAAACAGUUAUUUUUUCCCCUGCAAAUUUCCCUUUAAAAUAUUGGUAUUUAUCACUAAAUAUACAAUUUAUAGUAGUAAAAGUUACUGUCAUUAGAAUGAUGUGCUAUAAAAACAUUAAUAUACUGCUCUUUUCAGGUUGCUGCUAUUUAGUUCCGAUAUGUACCAUCAUGCCCUCUUAAAAUUAUAGGAAUAUAUAAGAUUCUUACUUUAAUACUUAACUCCAAAUAAAUCUUCAUUUCAAAUAAAGCAUGCAUUUUGAUUUGGGAUACAGUGAAAAAAUCUUUAAAGAUAUAUACAUCAACUAAUUUGUUAAUCUUGUGCCACUUUCAGCAUUUGUCACACAUAUAGACCAGGAAAUUGGCUCCAUCUCAUUCUAACUCUGUGUUGAAUUAAAAACCGCUACUGCAAAGAAGAGCAUGAUGUGGGGAAAGAAUAAAUUUAGUUCUUUCUUUAGUAAUGCACAUAUAUUUCCAUACAUUUCACAUCCUAAGGGAGCCUGUGAACGCAUUCAAUAAAUACAAAACUGUAAAUCCAGGAAAAGGGAAUUUUUAUAUUAUAAAUUUCACAUAUGACUUUAGUCUUAAAAGAUCUAAAAUUAUAAAUGUCACUAUGCUUUUAUUCUUUUGUCAAAUAUAGGAUAUGGAAAAAAUGAAGGCACUGAUACUGGUCAUUGGUAUUUCUGAGAAUAUUGGAUGUUUUAGAACAAAAAAUAUAUUCAACAACACUUGAAGAUUAAGAAAAUAUUAGAUGCGAAUAAGGUAUAGAGUCCUAAAUAAAAAUGUGCCUGAUCCAAAUAGGAAGCAAUAUGCAGGAUAACUUAAAGAAAAAAAGAAAAAGUGAACUCACUGUAUUGCUGGUCACUUCCAUGUGGGAAUAAACCGUUCAACAUGGAGUAGUAUAGGUACCUUUUUAAUGCUGAAAUGGGCAUGCUAAUUGUGAACUAUGCGGUCAGAAGCUCCUUCUAAAAUAUUCAGUAACUUAUUUACUGGAAUUUAACAAGCUGUGUACUUCAAAGCUUCUUUCACCUCUAAUUAAGUGCAUAAACUCUGUGAAUCGUAUUGGCAACUUGAGAUUUGGCACAGCAGCAGCAGUGCUGAAGCAGCCCCCACCGCUAGGAAAGGUACAAACACAGGCAAGUGACCUGUGAUGGGCUGAGAGACCUCGCUUACCAGGAUUUGCUCACGGUUAUGCUUCUGGCAACUGACAUUUCCAUUUUACUCAAAGCUUCUACCUUUGUGUCAUCAGACAAAGCCCCAUGAGUGGUGGCAGAGCAAACUGUAGCCUUCAUUCUCAAGUUUGAAGAGGAAAAGUUAUUUACAUGCCUAAAUCGCAGAACAUGAUGUUCAAAGGUCACUUUCUGUUACUCAUUGUUAUAAACCACUAAGUUUUCCAAAAGCUCUAUAAGGAAAAGGCACAUAGUUUGGGCAGAAACAUGUAAUUGGUUGUUUUCUUCUUUUAUUUUCUUUUCUUAUUGUAUGAUCUGAUUUUUGUACUACCAGAGGAAUGUCGAAGAUGAGAUGUUUCUGUCGUUCCGUACCAUGAACAAUUGCUUAAAGGGACCAUCAGAGACUGCAAGACAAAUCUAUGACCCUCCUUAAGAUUUUUAUGUUCUGAAGAGGAAUGACUUUUAAUUGGUUAGGAUUUUAGAGUUUAUGAUGUAAGGAAAAGUACUGAUUCCUGUAAUGACUGAUCCUUUACUGUUUUUAUUAGACUUUCAACUGAGCAUUUCUUAAACUUUCUUCUUAUGAAUUUAGACAAAUAUUUAAUUGUUUUAUUGCUGUAAUGCCAUUUCCCCCCACCCCAUUUUAGACAUAUUUUCCUGAAUGUGAGCCUGAAUUUAGUGACAAGCAGUCUGAUUUCCAGAAAUGUAUUGUUAUCAGUAAAAGUACUCCAUACCAAAAUGUGUGAAUGGAGAUGUUAAGAGAAAGCACAAAUAAUGCCUUUAUUCAUUACGAGAUGAAGCCCUGAGAAGUCAAGGUUAUUUAAUGGAAAUGAAUAAAUGCAGCUUGAAAUAUCUUUAUUUUCCAAACUGCAAGAGCAACUCAAACAAUAAGGAUAGCAUAUAAAGAAACAAACAACAAAGUCAGUUGAUUUCCUUAAAAAAUAUUUGGAACUUAAAAAAAAAAAAGAGGGAAAGCCGUCAUUUGACAUGGUGAUUAGGGUAGACUGAAGGACUCGGCUCAGAGGCUGCUUAUGCUGCUAUUGCACAGCAAAACUGUGUAGGGCAUUUAAUCUCUCUUAGUUUUCCUGUUUGUAAGUAACAAGCUGAUAAUGCUCACUUCAGUCUAGUGUUGUGCAAUAUUCAGAUGUUUCACAAUACAAUAGAAAAGUGUGUCACAGUGUACUUAAAAGUUGCCUGUUAAACUUCAUGUUUUUGAGAUGAAAGAAAAUUUCUGCUAUGCAUCUUGAAAGAGCUCAUUCCUUAAGGUGGUGGUGGCAGCUUUAAGCUUUUCUGAGAUAUAUUUUAUUUUUGUUUGUUUUUUUAACUGCUUAAUGGGCUAAUUUUUGGUAUCAUCUCUGGAAUAUGUAUGUCUCCUAUGACUGAAAGGAAGGAUGGUUGAUGCAAAUGAAAAAAGUCUCUUUUAGGAGAUCCUGUGAUCAGUAGAAUUCUGUCACCAUCACAAAAACAUACUUAGCAUGGCAUAUAUUUCUCAUUUCAGCUAAUAAACCUAACAUCUUUGUCUGGACAACAUCUCAAGCCUCUUUGCUAAAUGAUAUUACUGGAAGACUCCUUAUCAUUAAAGGAAUUGAGAUGGAGUCAGAUAAUAUGUAAAUUACAUAGCUUUUUCCCAUAAAUAAGCAAAUUGAUGUUUCCCAGUGUAGUAAAACACUUCUUAUUGGUACUGAUAAUACCACAGUCUUGAAGAGGUUAUCUAAAAAAGAUAAACUGAGAAAAAUUGGAUGCAACAUAUUUUCAAGUGGACAUCUACAUAAAUGUCUUCAGAUCAGGACUGUGUUUCUGAAGUUACUCUCCUGAUUAUCUCCACUUACUGUGCUAUGUUUAACACAGUGUUAAUGUCUUCUCAUGGGCAAGAACUAGCUUUCUUUUGGAGAACACUAAGCUGAGAUAUAUUGUCUGGAUACUGACGUCAGUACUCCAUUCUCAAACAGAUAUUAGGUUCAUGGAACCAUAUGAAGUGAUCCUGAAGUGAGGGCAGUAGGACUUCAACACUAAUUCUAAAGAGCCUGGUCAUAUUCUGUUUGUUACACUACUUGUUAUUCCUAAACACAUUUCUCAGAUCUGUAGGAAAUGGUCAUGGGCUCUUUCUGAGAAAGGCUUGAGCAGAGGUAGAUACCACCAAGCUAGAGUUAUUUAGAAAGAAACAAUUCUUUCCCCUUGGUUUGUACUUGAGCAACAAGGACAGUGCCCAGAAUAUUUUGCAUUGUAUUUCUAGCAUAACCUAAAUUUUUCUUCCGCAAUAUGGGCAUAUUAGCCACCCACAUUUCAAUUAUCUGGGACUACAGGUACAAUAGCUUAUUUGCUGUAGAUUGUCUCAUAUUCUAUAAAUAGAGAAAGAGGAUAUUUCUUGACAGAACAAGACAAAACUUGGAUCACUGUGAAUCUCCUCUCAAUAAUUUGGAUGACUGCACAUUUUGUACUGCAUGUAAGGAUAUCAGCAGGGAAUUAGUGAAAGUUGUACAAAACCUAUAUAAAACUAAAAGUUAUCUCUACAGAAAAUAUUGGAAAUACUAUUGAUGACUACUCUCAAAAUGGGCCCAUAGUAGUGCAGUUAUUUUUUCUCUUGAGUAUUCUAAGCCAUGCCCUAGGUUUGCCUAUAGCUUUAUGUUCUUGCUGUGGAGCCCUGAAAGGUUUUCCGGCAUUGAACAGUAGUCAGAGUCUAUGACAUGAGAGAUAUUAAAAAUAAUAAUAAUAAUAAAUCAUUUGUGCCUGAAACUUCCAGCAUUUAGGGUAGGAGAGGCAACUAAUCAAAGACAGAACCAAAAUGGUUUAUAAGAACAUCCAAAUUAGGAAUGCAGAAUUUUACUUUUGAGAUCAUCUGCAAAAUGACAAAGAUGUCCUUUACCUGCAUCAUUACCAGUGUUAAGCACCAGCUCACAGCUGAAGUACAUGUCAUAUCACUGAUACAUGCUUGUCAGAUGCCAUCGAAUAUAUUGAAUCUUACAGAAAAAAAAUGCAAAACUAUUAUAUGAUAACUGUAUUAUUAUAUGAUACAAAAGUAUGUGUUAGGAUUGCUGGUAUUGUAAAGAUUAAAUGAGAGAGUAAUCCAUUAACAUAACCUUUCAUGUAUCAUCUACCUUUAUUUAAAUCCAGAGUGGUUUAAGUUCUUAAGGGGGCAUCUUUUGGACUCAUUCAUUAAUGGUGAAAAUGACUAAUUUGUGUAUAGUCUAAUCAUGUUACUAUUUCAAGUUACUUUAAUUGCAGCACUUAGUAAGUUCGUGAAGCAGAAUUUCAUUCCAUCUGGUGAUUACUUAUUUACUUACAUUAAUCAUACAGUCAGAAAACAAGGAAUUAAAAAAAAAAAAAAGGAGCUACUGAAAACUUGAUUGAUCAUACUGGAGAAAUUAAUGUUAAUAAAUGUGUCCAUAUGGAACUUGAAAAUUUCAACACCCUUCAAGAAAUUAAUGUAGAAAACAAACAGGGAACUGCAAAUGCUGUGAUUUCCCUAAGAAACUUAAUUUUCCUACUAUUUGAACUAGCUAAUAUAUCAAAAGUAGACAAAUAUAAAAAAUAGCUAUUGAAGCUAUUUACAUUUUAUUAUUUUUUCAAUUCUUGUAUUGUAUAUACUUACUGAGUUUGCUUUCACUCUGCUGUGAAUCUCUGAGACAAGCUAGAUACUUGUGGGGACCUAUUAUGUUAGCUUAGGGAUAAAAACAGUGCUCCCACUUGGUCAUAUUAGGUCCUUCAGUAAACUAUUUUCAGGCUUGAACAGGUGCAUGACUGACCUGAGGAAGAGGUACGUUAAACAUUUUAGAAGUCUGUUACUUUCCAAGUCAUUAGUCCUAUUCUUCUGACGUCUCUAAAAUGCCCUAAAGCAAUCUACAGAUCAUUACCCUCUAACAGAUGACUUUUAGAAUUCUAUUCUCCAUCCACAACAAUUAUACAGAUGGACCUCUAUGUAGUGUAGUAUGACCAUCCUUGUCUGCUGUUUCAAACGUGGAAGCCAUUUUGUAUUCUUUAUAACUUGGUUGGUUGCUAAUAUAUCAAAAUCCAUAGUGAUUUAUACUGGCACAAAGUAUCUGUUUACAUCACAAGCAGCAGUUUUGCUGUACUGUUAUGGACGUUUAGACUACACAAAACAACAGGUUGCAAUGCUGUGCUUUCAGAGCUGCAGUGGUAUGUGAGUGGGCACAUGUGCACAGCAGAUCACUAGUUAUUGCAGCACAGGCAGCCUCUGCUUCUGCUAUAUAUUUUCACAACUGAUAGGCUUUUUUUUUUUUUUUUUUUUUUGUUUGGAGGUUGUCAUAUGGUAUAACACUUUUACUAGUUGACUCCUCCUACUUUUCUUCAAACCACAUCCUGAUUUUUGGCCUCAGAAACCAAACAUAUGCACAGCUUGCAGAACAACACAUGAUAUUGUUUCUGUAUAACAUCAUACCAGCUGGGAUAUAAAUUCUUACAGACAAUUUUAUGCGAAUGAAAAAUACCUACAUUAAGACAUUUUCCAUAGCUAUGCAAUAUAUACCACAGUAGAGCAUAUGGUCUACAGUCAGAGAUCCUCACUUAUAACUAUAACAAAAGCCCCAAGUCAGCCUCAGAUCUUCAGACAGUGUAAUUUUUAAUAGAUCAUUCUAAUUUCUUUCUAUUUUUUUCAUACUUCUUCUAUUGUGUUUUGGAUUUCUGGAAUCUAACAUCAGCUAUUUUGCUGUAUCGUUGAAGACCCUUAAUCUUUUUGAUUUAUCCAGUGUGGAGCACCAUAAAGCUAUUAUUUAACUAAAAAGCAACAAAUAUUUGGUGAAACUCUAAGUUGUAUCAUAAUCUGAAGAUAUAUCAAUAGCAAGAACUUAGAAUUUGUAGGAAAUAUAUUUCAACAUUUAUUUUCACUAUUAGAAAACUGUUCUAUAUCUGAUUUGUCAGUUUUCCCCAGAUUUUUUUUUGUGGGUGGAGUACUUAUUUUAUUCUCCUUUCAUGAUAAAUAAGAUUUGGAUAUAAAUAUUUAUCACAUGACCUACAAACUUUAACCAAGUCACUCCCAAUACUCUUUUUCGAUAAUCAGUUAAUCACAGUAAAUAAUUUUCUCCUGCUCUCCAGUUAUGCAACUUUUUAUUUCCUUCUACCGUAUCUGUUAAAAUAUGGACAGCAGAACUAUGGGAAAUAUUCCAACAGUUUCAUCAGGAUUGAAAGAUCACAUUAGCUCUGUUCAUGCAGUUUUGCAGUAGGUACUCAUGUUGAAUUGCUAGUCCACUAUGGCCCAUAAAUUCAUGCAGAGUUGAUGCAUUUUGAGGCAAUAUACCAUUUUUUUGAGGGGUGGAAUUCUUUUGUAUUGAUGCAUAAGCUUGUAUUCAUCUCUUCUAAAAUGCUCUUUAAUUUUUUUUAAAUUAUUAUUAUUUUUAAUGUUCCUAACUUGCCAAGAGAUCUCUUCUUUCCUGAGAUCAUCAUUAUGUACUACUCACGUGCCUUUCAUCCUUAACACGGUAAUUUCUAUAUGCACCUCCAAUGAGGUGACCUCAGAGCUCAAAAUAUUCUCAGCUUCAGAGCUGAGAAUACUGAGCAGCACUGGGCCUAGAGCUGAUCCCCGAUGAAUAACAUUAAAAAGAGUCAAUAACAAUUCUCAUUUUAAGGUAUAUUUUGAUCACCUGUUGACCAACUUUUAAUGAAUUGAAAUUAUGAAUAUUAAUGCAAUGUAGUAGAUUCUUUUUCUUAAUAAAAAUAUCAUAAAAUAAACUUUCAUUGUGCCUUUAUCAAUUAAACCAUCAGAAGAUGCAUAUCCCAAAGAUAGAUAAAAAAAUUAGUUGGCAAUGUAGAAAAGAAAACUCUAAGAAUUACUGUUCUUCAAUUUGCUCUGCACAUGUAACUUCAUUUCAUCUUUGUGAAACAGUUCAUAUAAUAAUACUGUUCAUAUUUCAGAACUGGAGAGAUUCUGAUUUUUCUGACAUACAUAUAUCUUGUAAAACAUGAAGGGGCUUUUUGAAUUUAUUGAUGUUUUCUUUAAGAAGCUUACAAAACUGGAGUUGGGCCCUGGUGUAUUCACUGUCCUCAGUUACUUUUAAUAUUUUUUACUAGCACUUUAUUUUUCAGAUGGGUAAUAUAGUCUCCAUAAUUUUCCACACAACAUUUUAUUCACAAGGUUAGAAAAUGAUUCUUAACUAAUUCUUAAUCUGUGCUUUGGCAGACAUACCUUUUUUCAUUUCUGCCUGUAAGAGGUAACAUUGCAUCUGUUAUGCUGACAGAUAAAUGUACAUCCACAGUCCUCUCAAAGCUUUAUGAACAUCACGGCUCCUCUCCUACCCCUACCCCGGUGUGCCUGAAUGGUGCCUGAGUUUCUGAAAGUAAAGGGGAAUAAGCUGAUGACCUUUGAGGAGACUCAUUUAAAAUGCCACCCCUUUUUUUGGGACCCCUCUCAUGUCCACAAUAAAGUUUUGGUGAAGUUUGUUAAAAAUACAUUUCCAAUAAGUUUAUUCUUGAAAAAUGAUGGUCUAAAUCUUUUGAAUUCAUUGGACAUUUCUGUCUUUGUGUAGGCUGAAUAACACAGCUAAUAGCACAGUAAUAAUUACAUGUCAUUCUCUUUAUCCUCUUUGUGCACUGCCAAUCAGCAAAGGUGUCUCAUUUCACACAUCAUUUGCUAUGUACUAUGGUAAUGCCACAUAUUUUGGGGAAUAGCUCUUGAAUGUAGUCAUUAAUCUCCAUUUUGGGAUGUAUAGCUCCAGAUUCUGGACCCAAUUCUGAAAUUAUUCUACGUGCUAAAGUCAAUGGGCUAGUAAGACUCUGCUCAGUUCCCAAGAGAAAGAGAGUACAGGUAACUUAAAACCACAGAACUGUGUGUUUUCCCUAUCCUGCAACUAUCCACAGCCCAAGCUGAAAAGCAGUUUACCCUAUUUGUCUAGAGUUAAAGACAGGUCAUGGCAGUAAGUGGAAAUUUUGGGUUUAGGGAUUAUUCUGAACAAUCUUCCCACUUGGUGGAGAGAAAGCAAGUUAUUCUGACUGUCUUAUUCUGGUCAAGGCAGCUAGAACAAAGGAGGACUGUUAGCUCCUACUGAGGCACAGCAGCCACAAGUCAACAGCAAUCCAGAUCCAACUUCAACACAGAGACAGCUUGUGAAAUUGAGAAACAGGAACAAGACGAAAAGUACUAUACGUGUCUGUGAAACCUUAUCAACCCUGGCAGAGAUAUUUAUUGCUCACUGAUGACUGAGAAUCUCGUCUUGCCCAGAGACUAGUUGUGAGUUAGUAAUGGAGUAAAAAUGUGGGCUGAACAGAGAAUGACAGUCUAUUGCUGAUUGCUCUGAUGUCACGCUUUAGGAACAGCAGCCAGAAAUGUGCAACUCAUUCUGUCUGUAGAAUCAAAGGCACCUAAUUACAAUCUCAUUUUGUUAAAAUACAGCACUAAUGACUUGCUUGUGCAGUAGCUGGAUACCAUAUCAACUGCCAUAUAAGCUAAUUUUUUCCAUUUUAACAAUCCUAGUUACAGUAUCUGACAGCCUGCGCAUAAACAUUUGCCAGUUGUUGCUGUGUGUCAUUGGAGAGGAGAGAUGCAGCAGUUUCCACGAGGCAGUAAAAGCAAGAGGAGUCACUGGAAGAUAAGCUUUGUACUGAGAUGUCCUACCUCACUUCUGAACUGCUUUGACUCAUUCAUAAAUACUGGUCUUUUAAAAAUCAGACCACGCUUCCUCAGGUCAGAUUAUUCUGUGGCACAUCAACAGAGGUUAAGACCUGUUCUCUUUUGUCCUCCUCUCAGUUAAUGUUUAUUAUGUAUCCAUCUCUUUAUUUAUUUAGUUAGUUAUUUUUAUUAGUACUGUUUGUACCUUUGAAUUCUUUUCCUGCUUUGGGCUGCUUCCAUGUGUUUGGUACAAGUUACACAUCAUCUCUAAAAUUUUAUUAAUAAAUAUAUAUAAAUAUUUUCAGAACUCUCACUACUUACAAAUUCUUAUUUUAGGCUAAGGAUUACUUCUAUUAUCUUUCAAGCAUCCUGCUGAAAGCAAAUAUAUUGUUAAAUAUCAAGGGGACCUUGCUUUGUUCCCUAUGUGUGGCUUUCCUUCAACAAAUACCAAACUAAGCAUGUGCAUGGGGGACACACAUUGGCAUUUGGAUUAUCUGAUGAUAUUCCAUGAAAUUCUUUUCAGAAAAUUCUGUAUAUUUAAUCUGUUCAUUAUAGCAAAGUCUGUGUUAUUAUGUGUUUAUCUGAAAGGAGUUUUCUGAAAGUAGUGAAAUAAGUUUAGGUUUAUAAGCACCUGUGUUUUGGCACACAGCAAGGACAGAGUUUAUACUAAGCCACAUUUUUCAUAUGACAUUAGAUGGCUCCAGACUUUGAUAUGUUUGAUUUUCUCCUACAUGCCCGAUGCAAUCUAUUACAUGUGUAAUUCUAUUUUUGAGUAUGUUCUUUCUCCAAAUGUGAGUAGCAAUAUUUCUUUCAUUGUGGCUGGUGCUUUGACAGUAGCCAUCCUUCUAAAUCUAUACAAUGGGCAUUUUCUCCAAGUGCUGAGCACUUGUCUCCCCAGACCCCUGCCAGUUGUUUUCAAUAGCUUUUCAUGUGAAGGUGUGUUACUAGAACCUGUUGUGUCAAAAAUCAGAUAGGUCUUUCAAAAAAAAUAUGUCUAUCAAGCUAUUCACACUCAGAGUCCAUCAAGAGAAUGAUGUGUAUAAUUAUUAUUUUUAAGAAGCAUGGAGGGCAGCCAGAAGAGUUGAAGCAGGAACCCUUCCAAGUACAUAUCCUGAAGAAGCAGAAGGGGCAGUAAUAAAACUAAACUUCCCUCUGUAAUGAGAAAGACUGUUGGAAGAGUGAACUCAUUAGUUAGGUGCUGGGGGCCAAGUCAUUCUUUGUUUCCUUCUCAUUUCUUCCAGGCUAUGACUGUGUUUUAACAGCAUCCCAGAUCAAAACACUACCUGGGAAUAUUAGUGAGCUGAAAAAGAAACCAGUAAAGUAGUAACAGUCCCAAUGUCAGUAUGAAAAUCAGGACUAUGAUCUUUUAACUGCUCCAGUAAAAAGUUAUUUCACUUGUAAUUUCUGCUUCUUGGAGGUGCCUAGUGUAUUCAAAGAGCCUUCCACAAGUCCACGAUCAGUUACACUGAACUACAAAAUCAACGAAAUUCUCUGAGCUCUAUUUCCACAGGUUUCCUGGGAAGAGAUAUAGUCAAGAAGUCAGACUAUGCUCCAGUUCUGACUUGGGUACAGGUUUACUUGUGCCAGUCAGCACUCAAGCUGCUUACCAGUUAUUUAUAGUCAACAUACUGCAUACCACUGCUGUCUCCUCCUAUCCUACCCUUUCAUUUUGUGGAUUGUAGGGAGUACAAGGUAACAGUAGGGUAUGCCAACCCCAAAGGUGAGUCUGCUGGUGACUGACUAGUAGAGCAAUUCUCUAUGGUCUGUUUUGCAUAGCAGUACAACUGAACAAGGACAAGCCAGAGCUGAUGGCUGCUCUGAUUCCUUGCACCAGUACAAAUUAAACCAAGAAUAUGGAGAACGCAUAUGACUUCAUCCUUCAGACCACAAGUGAAGCUGAGUCAGCAAGUGGUGAGGAAAACUGCAUGUAUUUAUAGUGAAUGAGCAAUUAUUAUUUUUUUCAUGAAAUGUUUGUAGCUAAUCAACUCAAAUAGCUGCCUAUCUAAUAAAUACAAGCUGCAUAUAAUGCUGCCAAAAAAGUGAACUUGAAUGGUAUGUUUGGCAGUGCUGAGCAACUCUCAAAGCACAUUAGAUGCUCACUGUCUGAGCCGAAAGACUAAAAUCUGAGUAAGAUUAAAAAAUAUAAUUUGAUCUUUUUUUUAUACUAUAUACUGCUUUUAUUCAUUCUUAAGUUUAGUUCCACUGAUCUCAGUACAGAUAACAGAAGGAACAGAACCCAAAGCUAGCACUUAAGUAUUUAUUUUCACAAGUGCAAAUUAUUUUCCUAAGCUUUUCUUCGUCUUUUCCUCCUUUCUUUAUAUUUUUCCUUUUUUUUUUCUUUUUCUAGAAGUCUUUCCGUGUUCACUGCUUACUUAUGAAACAGAAUGGAACAGAACUAAAAAAUGAUAACUUCUAUUUAAUUUCUUCUGACAGUGGAAAGGGAUUCCCUCACAUUUCUUUAGGGAUGCUGAAUAAAUUCAGUUUGACACCAUUUGUGCUUGCAAUUCACAGAAAUCCAGCAGCGGUAUUUAUACAGCUAUAUUCCUACCUGGUAUCAUAGACUUUUUAUACUAUGAAUACUUUCCUUUUAUUUAGUUCAUAGUACUCCCUCCUCUGCUCCUUUCAGGAACUUUACGGAGGUGCAGGUAGCCAGGAACAAAGCUUCACAGACCAAAAUUGGCAACAGUAAAUUCUAUUGACAUUAACUCCUCAUAAUUUUCAGCACACAGAUUUAUUCAUGUAACUCCCAUUAAAAUUAAUGGGAAUCAUGUGACUCAAUCGUCUGCAUAUUGAACUCUUUCCUCAGUGUACUAAAUAGUCUAUAUCUAGUUUUUGAGUCCCAAAACAAAAUGAAGAUGUACUGGUAAUAUAUCAUUUAAAUGUCACAUACAUUUAAUUAAUUACAGAACUUUGAAGAAACAUCAAUAAAAGCAUCUUUUGCAUCAAAAGUCAAAAGUCUUAAUUAAUAGUCAAAAGGCUUAAUUAAUAUUACAAAUUUCAGCACAGUUUUCAUUAUUUCAUAUAAUAAUACAACAGGCUACUGUAUUUGUAAUUUAUCCUCUAACUAUACAAUUUUGUCUUUAAAUAGCCACAAGGAAUGCAAUAAAUGAAAGAUUUUUCGGAACAAUGGUUUAAGCUUGGUCUUACUUUUUAAACAUUUAACCUUAUUUUAAAUGACAGCCUGUUAAUAGGCCAUUAAUACAAACAUUAUUUUAAAAUGAGAUUUCAAGGAAAGGUUAGACUUGAAUAAGUUACAGUAAGAACAGGCAGAAACUGAUGACUUUCAAAGAAAUAAUGCUGUAAAAAAUGUCUAUGAUGUUAUGCCCAAGCAAUGUGAAAACAAAGGCUAUAAUUUACCUUUCAAUUACAUAUAUAUAUAUAUAUAUAUACAUAUAUUUCUAUAUCCAUGCCAGUAUUUAGAAGUCUACCAACUUAAUAGAAAGCUUUGUAAGGACGAGGAUGUGCAAAUAAUGUAGUAGAAUAAAUGGAAGUCCUUGAGUGUCCAAAUGUCGAAUGGAGACAUUCAAGAAGGUCCAAAUACAGCUUGAUUUUGUAGAAUAUCUUGAUUCCUUCCUUUUUUUCCCCUUCCUUCUUCCUUUUCUCCUCCACCUUGUGCCUUCUGCAUUUGCACACCACUCACUGCUAACUCCUGUGAAAUUGUGGGCUUCCUCAUGUGUCACUGAUCGUUGGGAAAGUGCUCUAGUCGAAUUAUCUUCAGGAAAACUGUCUUCUUAUUUAUUCUCAACAAGCAAGGAAUUUGUUUCUUAUUUUUUGCUACAAAGUAAACUGAAAAAGGUAAUUGAUUAUCUUCUGGUACACAGUACUGAUGUCCUCAUUUUUGUUCACACAAUGUCACUAAAUGUAAAGAUGUUGUUAUGGAUCUCAAUCCAUAACGCUGCGAAGCUGUGUACUGUCCUCACAAAAGCUGCAGUAAUUGGUGCUUAUAGGCUAUAACUGCCCAGUGAGAUAAUAUUUUUCUAUGUUACUCUAAGAAUUCAAGUUCCUCAAAAGUGCUUACACAACUUAAUUACACAACUGCAGUUUUCUUGUGCAGCAAAGAUAGAUUAAUAGGUAAAUAAACAGGGACCACUUGACUCCCAUGGAACUAAUUUUUUUUAGAUUUGAUGUAAGUGGUAGAGGAGAAAGGACAGCAGUGUCAUAUCUAUCUUAGUAGUUCAUAGGAACAAUAUACUAUGUUUUAUUAUAGGAAUUGAAAUCUUCAUUAUCCAACAGAAAUUUCAGAGAAAACUUCCACACAGAAAGGUGUAAUUUAUGUUAAAUCAGAAUUGUGUCCUGAAAAUAAAGUCUAUUUCACAGACAUUAGCUGAUUUCUUAAGAUCUGAAGAAGAGACAUUUUUUUUCUCUCUGAUUUAACAGAUAACAACAUCAAGUAUAUAGAACUCAGUAAAUCAGAGUAGUUUGCUUGCAUUUGACUCAGGAAAAACUAUAAACUUCUUAUCAUGUUCAGCAAUAGAUUCUUAUUUUUCCAUUGUUUUAACGGGUUGAGUAUAGAAUGCCAUGAAUUUCUGCUGUCAUCUCCACUCAUAUUAAAUGUACCCUUGGCUAUUCCAACCUUUAUUUUGUCAUUACCAUUAGCAGUACAUAUGUAGUGUUUUUUUCAGUGUUGCUGAGAAGCAGUUGGUGCAGUGAAUAUUUUCAUGUUUUUGAUUCGAUGAGCACAACGGAAAUACUUUUUCAUUAUUGCAAUUAUUUUUUUCACUGAUUUCUCAACUGAGCAAAUUAUCUGCUUUGAGAUGUAAAUGGACAAUGAACUCCCUUGGUUUUGCUAUUCUAGAUAUUACCUGGAAUAUGGGAGAAACUUUCGGUGGUUUGUUUGUUAGAUACCCUUGCUUUCAAUAUGUUUUUUCCUCCUACUAAUUCCCAGAUACUGUGCUAUAGAUUAUUGUUUCCAAAGAUUAGAAAAGAUGUUAAUACAAGGUAUUAACAUUGAAAGCAGAAACAAAAAUUUUACUCAUCAGCUUGAGAUGAUUAAUUACAAUAAUGAUAACAAAGUCAAGCACAAUGUCUUAUUCACAUGCCAUAGAGGACAGUCCUGACUUAUGUACUAGCAUGCUUUCAAUUUUUUUGCAAAGCACAUAGAUUUUUUUUUACAUCAUCAGGCAUUUCUGAAAACUUUCAGUGUUUAAUUGUCUCUCGCUCUUCAUGAUCAUAAAAACAAAAUUAAUAUAUGGAUAAAAAGGAAAAUAUAAUCAGGGCUUUGAAUCUAGUAUUUUGGCAUUAGCCCUGAAUGUAUGCUAAUUAUGCCCCUAAGUAACACCUCAGGAUCAGAGAAGCAAAGUGGGGGAAAGAUUGCAAAGGGAAAAAACUACUCUGCUUUAAAAAAUUAAAAUUGUUCAUUCAAUUAUAAAAUCCUUAAUAAAAGUCCAUACUUGAGUUCAAGUUGCCCACGGGAAGGUCUAAUUCAUGCUGGCCAUUAAUGAAGGCUUUAUAUGACUAUGAGGAAAAACUGACAAACUACCCUAGCAACCUUAGGAAUGCCUGCUAACAUUUUUAAGUAAUAAUAAGACGGAUACUUAGAAUGCAUCCUAAAUUCUUCUUUUAUAAAGUCACACUUCAUAGAAUAUUAAUAGAUUUUAAAGCAAUUUCAGAUAAUAUAAUUCCAGCUAUUUUGCACUCAUAUGUUUGUUUCUGAAUGCUUUUAUUUUUUUUUUCUUUUGCAGGUGACAAGUCUACUAUUUCAUCAAAUGAGAACCAACAUUUGGCAAUAAGCUAGCCACUGUAAUAUUUUACUCAAUGCAUUUAUGGAGAUAAUAUUUUCUAAAAUAGAAUUUAUAUCAAAACCAAACUUUUUAAAUUUAGAGCUCAGUACUAACAACUCAAUUAUGGAUAUGUUCAUAUAAACCUAAUCUUAAAACAGAAUUGCUUUUAUGGAAAAGCAUUUCCAGUUUUGAUAGAAGACGUUUGCCAAAGUCAUGUAGGGUGAGCUGAUCGGCAUACUGUAUCGAUAUUUUCUUAUAACAUUAAAGAUUAAAGAAGACUGUAGAGUAGAGUUUAUUACACAGUGCUGCUGGAUUAACAUAGUUUAUAGUAAUUGCUAUUAAACAAUGAAAAUUACCACAAUCGUCAACAUUUCCAGUAGUAAUAUAACUUUAUCAACAUUGUUUAUAAAAGAUUUAUUUGGUUUAACUCUUUUACAACACUGGUAGCAUGUCCAUUGGGCUUCAUCUGGAGACAUCUACACAAAAAAAUAUUAAAAACAUCCCAAAGAAGUUCUUACAAAUAAUAAUAAUAAAAACCCUAAUCACUGUGACCUUUAAUUUCUAUCUUGAAAAACUAUAAAGUCAGAGUAAAACUAAACUUCCUAGACAUAAUUAGUAAUACUUUCAGUGCUUUUAAAAGUCAUCAUUUUAUUUUUGCCUCUUAAAACUCAAGGUGUGAACAAAUUGAAACUGCUAAACUAGGACAGAAUCAUCGCCAUUACUACAAGUAAAUGUAUUGUCAUAUAUUUUUUUCUUCUUUUUUUUUUUUUUUUCCUCAAAUUCUGGGAAUUCUUGAAUUUCUUUAAGGUUCUCCUUUUUCAUGAUUUUAAACAUCCAGUUACCCAGCUUACUAGAACUGAAUUUUCUGUUCUUUCUUUCUAACUUCUACCAUCCUCUUUAUCAAUUCACACUUCUCAAAAGUAUCUCUGAGUGUUUGACUUUACACUUUAGAAGUUUCCUUCAUUUUCUUUCUUUUUCCUUUCCGCUUUUUUUUUUUUUUUCCCCUCCUUUUCCCCAGAUUUUUUUUUUUUCCUCCGGCUUUGUAGCUCUGUUUGCUGUCCAUCUUUUUGGACAAAGUCUUCUUCUUCUGCACAAAUUUGUAUGGACUGUCUUUUAACACUGCCUGCACCCAGCAUUGCUGUGUUUAUUCCAGUUUGAUUUAUACAAACCAGUACUCAGAGUGAUACUGCAUUCUUCCUGCUGUUGUUAAGAAUAGGAGCCCUAAUAUAUUCUGGGAAAGCUGCAACUGCUGUUCUUGUUGCAACGUAGAUGCUGGCACUUUUACUGGGUCUUGAUGUAUUCAGUAGUAGCUAGAAUACAAAGGGGUCUCUGCAAGUUUAUGUUCUGAAAUAUAUAAAACCUCCAUCGUAUUAGUUUUGUUAUUUUGCAAGCUUUGUUAUUCCCAGACCACCAAGCCCUUGCAAAAGACAAUACUGCAUGAUUCUUCCAGCAGUCACAAUGUUGUCCUUAAAACAUGUUGCACUUGAGAUAGUUGACAUAGCCCUACAACUUCUGCAGGCUCCCAGUAAUGUCUUGCUCAUGAAAACAUAAUAGUAAUUUGCCCCUUGUUAAAAGUUAAAAAUAAAAUGUAGGAAUGGAUGCUCACAUUUAUGUACCACCUAUAGUAUUUUUAAGUCUGCAUUCCCUAAGAGUGAAGUAUUAGAUCAAAGAAGAGAAAAAAAUAAAUAUUUACCUUUUACAGUGGAUUAUAGACAGAUGGACUAUAGACAAAUGACGUUAUACACUGCCAAAAUUCAAAUAAAAUACAAUUUAUUCCAUAAUUUGCCAUGACAGACUGAAAAUUCUAAGUCUUAAUUGCUUACCAUAUGUAAUUUCCCUCCUUCCCCUAGUCUGAAAAGUAUACAAUGCAAUAGUAGAAGAAAAUAUAAGACAGCAGAGUUGACACAGAAUGAAAUUAUUCUUCUAUCAGAGAAAUAUAGUUCCCUUAAAAAAAAUCAGUUAAUAAAAACCAUGAAGAAAGAGGAAUAUCCAAAUUACAUUUUUUCCAAGAUCUACCUGAAUUUGGAUUUCAGGACUAAGAAUGUAUACCUUAAACAGGAAAGCAAGGAAAGCAUACUUUACUAGGAAGACUAUACUGUAUUUGUAUUUCAAUUAGAUCUCUGAACAUUUUCCAUACAUUCUUUGAAAUCAUCAUACUGUUUACCUUUCUCACUGUUUAUCAUAUUUCAUGUUUUCCCAUAAACCUAAUUUUAAAAUUAUUUAAUUACAGGAGUUCUAUCUUUAGUAUAAUCAUUGAGGAUUUAAAGAAAAUUUGAGAUGUAAACUAUGUCUUUACAUAUACUGUACUUCAGAUAUUCUCAUCUAGCACUGACAAACUAAAAAAGUUUCUGCUGGGCUUUUUCAGAAUCCCUUUUAGAGCAGAGUUUUUUAAUUUCCAUUAUUCCUUUAUGCUGGAUUGAAAUUUAGUUCUGCUUUUUCAUUUAUUUUCCCUUUUGUUGGCUUACUUGCCUUUCCACACCCUUCCUAUUCCUACAGUCAUAAGAACAAAGAAUGUUCUUAAUAGUAUUGAAAAACCCUGAAUUCCAUUAGUUUGAAUACUUCAUUUUUGGCAUAACAUGAGGCAUGGCCUUCUCUAUGUCCCAGGAGCAAGAAUUCUGCAAUGCUUCCAAACCCAGAUCUUUUCUGUGGCAAUGAAAUCUUCUCGUCAUCCAAGAUAUCAAACUGUUAGGCUGUUGUUUUUGAAAGCCUGAACUGAGGAAAUACAUCUGAUUUAAAUAAAUUAGGUUGUUUGAACAUGCCUAAAGCAAUAGUAAAAAUAUGUCACUGUUUUCCUGCCUCUUAAUGUGAGUCCAAUUGGACAGUCUCCUUGAGAUGUCUCUUCUUCAUUCAUUCAUGUGCAGUUAGAAAUACAAAAAAUUAUUGUAGGAUAUUGUUCUCAUUAUAGUCUAGAUAUGGAAGUCUUUCUGUGGUUGCAGUUCACCUUGAAAUUUAUAUAGUUUAUUUGGAUUCAUCCUCUUUAGUAUUCACCUACCAAAAUAUUAGGGAAACUUUAUAUAUAAUCUUGGAUUUGAUUUCUUCAGUACUCUAACACAUUUUAUUUGAAAGCACUUUUGUUUAAGCUAUAGGGUUUUAUUAUAAAUUACAUAUUUUACUAUUACUGUCUUCACAAUAUUUAUAUGAAUAAAUUCAGCUAAAUAUUGAGUAUGUGCUCACUAAAGUGCUUGUCCAUUGGCUGAAAAUAGUUGUAUACUUCAGGAUAUUAACUGAACAUGACUGUGAGCAUCAACUGUUCUCACUGAAAUAGAGUUUAAAAAAAAUUAACGGAAUCCUUUCAAUAGAGUACGAAGUGACUGGCAGUGGAUCUGAGGCAUGAAAUUUCUAAGAUUCAGUUUAGAGGGAGGUGUUAAAGCAGACAUUUCUGGCAAUACAUUUAAAAGAUUUUGGGCAGAAGGAAAGGAAGAAAUCCCUGACUACUGCAGACAAAUUUAACUUGUAAUUUCUUUGUAAACUUCUUGAGCUUGAUGUCAAAUGUAGAUAGUCUCUCAUCAGUUUUAUUGUAGAGCAUUAUACUCCUUAUAUUUAAAAGCAUUCUGCAUUUUUUUUACCACAGUUCUAGUAUAUUUAAUUAGCUUUUAUUCUUCUCUUUCUUAAAUAGCCCUCCUCGUUAUAUAUAAUAUAUUUACAAAUAACACCUCUAUUAGCUCAGCUUCCAUUUUGCUAAGCUAAAGAAGUUAAGGAGUUUUUCUGUGUAUUUGAAGUAUUUCUGGUUCAAAUGCAACAAAAUAGUAUGCACUAAUCCAGAGGCAAUCUUGCCAAGACUUUGCGCAAGGGGUACUCUUUACAAGAAAUGGAAAACAUCCCAGCACAUCGUGGAAUUACACUUUCCUUUGUCAUGGUAGCUUCACACCAGUAGUGAUAAUGAUCAUGUGAUUGUUUGAUUAAACCCAAUUUUUUCUCCUCCUGUACUAUUUCUAACUGAUGAGCUCCCAGCUUAUAGCAGAAAUUCUUGUUAUUAGUCCCUGAGUGCAUGACCUUACACUUUGUACUAUUAAAUUUGAUCUAGCUGCUAUUGCUACAGUUGUCAAGGUCAUCUGAUUCUUCCUGUGUGAUAUUCCUGUUCACUUCUAUAUAGACAACUCCUCCAAAGUUUUUGUCAUCAAUAAAUGUCAUUAACACACUUCUAAUAUCUGUUUCAAAUCGAUUAAUGAGGAUAUCAAAUAAUAGUCCAAAAACCAGUCCUUGAAGAACUCCAUCAGUGAUUUUCCAAACUUAUAAACUUCCUUUCAACUAAAGUCUUGUUUGUCUUUUGUUUAAGCAGUAUUACAAUUCUUGCGCUAAUUACUUGUUUUAACUGGUAGUUCCCCAUGUGGAAAUGCCUGAAAUUAGGUUUGGACUGGAUCAGUUUCAUUGCAGAAAACUAAUUAUAAGCGAGAUAUAGAAGUGUGACCUAAGGAAGGCAGUUCAGUCAAACCAGGCCUGCAUAUCACCCAAACUGAAAUGUCAGAUAGGAGAAGAAAAAAGCUCACUGAUUAUUUAGCAAUAAAUCUGUUAAGAAAUAUUUGACAAAAACUCGAAAAUCAGUGCGUAGAUUUAACCUUAAAAUACUGAUUUGCAAAUAACAAAACCUUUACAUAUGGCAAAUGAGGAGUAAGGUAUACCUCAAGUAUAUUCCUGUGUCUAAACAAUGCUGCUUUAUAUUCUCUCAUUAUAACAUCAUUAUUUAAGGAAUUAUGAUGCAGUGGUCCAUUAUCAACUGGUUAUUCAGUUAAUGAAUGAAGUGCCUGAGGUGAAGGCCACUGCUUUACUUACUGACCAUGAGGUUAUACUAAGAAACAAGCAUUCAUCUUGAUCACAGUGCCAAUUCAGCAUCUACUAAAUUGACAGAUCUAUCUGAGAAUAAGUUUCUAUCACAAAGAAAGUGUCAUCUCCUGUCAUCUUACAAGUGUACUUCAUUCUCUACCUAGAUUUAACAAUUGACACUCUUCUACUGCACAGCAUAUCAGCUUCCUUGUUAUAAAGCAGCAAAAUGUGUUCAUAUUAUCAGCAGUUAUGUUUGCAGCAGUUUAUUUAAAGAAUAAAUUUGACUCAGUGAUGUCUUCCAUUUUCAAAUAUUAAGCCCCUUCACUGGUUGCUAUUUUUUAUAUCUCAGUAACUUUUCAGGUUAAUUUUAAUUAAUGACAUCACUUCACUGUUUUUGCUAAGACCAUAGAUCCAACAGCAGUGAUCGUUCCACCCAACUGGUGUGGCAGUGAAUGAUAUCAGAGGAAGGUGAGAUCCCAGGCCUGAAGGGUGGAGAAGUUAAGUCUAGUUUACUGUCCAUUCCCCUUCCACCAGACCAAAACCAGCUGUGUAGAACCACUUCGUUAAACCUGGGUAACCGAGAUACUUGUAAACUCCAUGUCUGCUGAAGAAAGAUUUGUCACAGAUUUGAAAAACUUGUAGGAGAGAACUACAGUAAUGGAGUGUUGACGGUUUACGGGCUGGUUUGGCCCAGUUCCGUGACUAGCAGGGUGGAGGGAUUUCACAAAUCUGCGCCUCUGGAAAAGAGAAACAGGGGACCCCAAAAUAAUUAAAAAUAGCGGAAGUGAUCUGAGGAGAAACAAACUAAUUUACUAAUCAUGGUAUUGGAAUAAUAGAUAACACACUAUAAUACAAUAUAAUUAGAAUUAAAGCUAAGAAAUCAAAUAUAAUGAGAAAAAGAGUGUCUGAGAACUGAAGGCCUCACCACACUGCUGAAAUGAGAUGUGCAGUUGAGUCGAGCAGCAAGGAGGAGAGCCGAAGGAAAAGAGAGACAUCAGGUGACCUUGCCGUUGGUUAUAUCUCCUCUCUCACUGCAAAGCCCCCUGGGAUAUGCAGUUCUUCUUCUCUUCCGGACAGGUGCCUGGAACUGGAGCAUUAACUCUUUAACUCCCAGUGCACUACAUGAUGUUAUGAUGUGGAAUACCGAUAACUAAAAAUCAUAAAACCAUAACAUGAAGCUUGGCUUCCUAAUGUACUUGUGAUAUCAGAAUGGCUAGGAGAGGAACUAAAUGCAAAAGAGUGGCCUACAAAGUCUUUUAUGUUUUCAAAGACAGAUUCUUCAAUUUUUUUAAAAAAUUAAACCCAUGAUGAAAUGGCCUCGUGUUUCCAAUACACUGGCCAGUAAGACCUUAGUUGGAUGAAGCUCUGCAUAUAUCAUCAACAAGUAAUACAAAGAUUAGGAAUUUUCUAUUAGUGCACAGGGAACACUCAGCAGUUCAGGGGGUAGGGUGGGGGGAUCUUAUUAAUGUUUAUAAAUAACUGAGAAGAGGAUGAAAAGGGGAUGGAGCAAUGCUGUUUUCAGUGGUACUCAUUGCCAAGACAAAAGGCAACAGGCACAAACUGGAACACAAGAAGUUACUUCUGAACAUCAGCAAGCACUUCUUUACUUCAUGGGUGAUAGGGCACUGGAAUAUGUUGCUCAGGUCUCCUUCCUUUCAGACAUUCAAAAAAACAUCUGGAUGUGGUCCUGGGCAACCUGGUGUAUGUGUCCCUGCUUGAGCAUGAUUUUUGGAUGAGAUGACUAACAGAGGUCACUUGUAGCCAUAAACAUUUUGUACUCCUGUGAUCCUGUGAUUCUGCAAUACCUCUUGAACAAAGAAAACCAGGAGACAAGAGAACUAGAUCUGUACUGGAGCCUAAAGAACAAGUGACAAUGGUUAGAUUCCACCCUAAUAAAAUUAGCUUGGGAUAUGAAAUGAAUCAGCACCUGAGAUUAAGUAUAAUAGAUUGAAUACACCAAAUAGAAUAUUUUGUAAGAGAUUCCAUAAUCCUUGAUAAUUUCAUUUACAUUUCAGUUUAUGCCAUAGAUUUUUCUUUAGAUCUGCUUUUCUAUCUUUCCUGGAUGUAAUUUUAUAAAAUAUUCAAAGGGAUCAAUUAAAUAUUAAAAUACUAUAGGCUGAAAUCAUUGUAAAUUUAAACUUGAAUAACUGACAGAACUACGUGAAAUCUUGUGUGGAAUUAGGAAACUUUGUGCUACUUAAUUUAUUGAAAGUUGGCUCUAUCUCUGAUAAUUUCUGAAUUAAUAUUACUAAAUUUGAUCAACUUCUGCACCAGUACUAUGCUCUGUAUUUGAUUCAUGGUAAGGAAGAAAUAUCUUUCUUGCUGUUCACAAUAUUUUACAAUAAUCCCAAGUCCAUAGUCGAUUAUUUCUGUUUCCUUCUGUUAUCUCUUCUUAGGGAAAACACAUAUCAUAUACUGAUGCUAUUACCUUUCCUGCUUCUACUAAUUUACUAAGGGCUUAAAGCUAUUUGUAUCUGGCAGAAUAGCCUUACCCUUUUGCCUAAUCCUUCAAUCCAGCAGCUCCACAAUACAUCAGUAGUUGCCCCAGUUGUAAAGCAGUGCAUGUCCCUAACCCAUCAACUGAAAGCCUUUCUACAGUAUGUGAAGUAUAACUGCAGUGUUUGUUCAAAUUGAAAUUUAGAUGAUUCUCUCUUCACAUGCAUCAUGACAUUUUGUAUUUCUGUGAUUUGGAGUUAAUGUUUUUCCAAUCUCAGACAGAAAGAGAGUUCUGAUUAUCUAUGGAGGAUGAUCCACAAUUCUUUUUUCAUUCAUUCUGGAAUAGCAAAUGAGUAUGUUUACUCUGUCAUCUGAAAAGAUGAUACCCUUGAACCAUGCUACUCAGUCUGUCACAGUCCUGUUACAGGGGAGAUGACCCACUUACUGACCGAAAAAGAAAAAGAAAAAAAGGCUAAAACAUACAAAGCUACUCAGAGAUUUUAUUUAAACAAAACUAGCCCUGCUCUGAACUACUUACUUGCUCAGGACUGAGGACUGAGGAAUGAUACCUUAAAUGUUUGCCUAUUAAAAGACUGCUAGAACUAAGAACUUCAUUAUAAUUUUUCAUCACUUCCCAAAUUCAUUCUAAUGCAUCUUCUCCAGAAUAUGCUUUUCAAUGACUUUUCCAAAACUUUAAAAAACUUAUAUGAAAAUGUAGAUCAUUUCAGACAAAAGGUUUCAGCACAAGGUUUGAUCUUAGAUAUAAUAAAUGGCACUUGAGAGAUUCCCAGUGGAAUUCUUUGGAUAACUUUUUUCAUAGAGGCUAACACCAAGAGAGAAGUAAUUAUAUUGUGCUGUUGACUUUCCAUUAAGGGUCUUCACAUUUUGCCCACUUGUUUUGUCUUGAGCUUAAUAUCUUCUGUUUGGAUACAGUGUAUCUUCCAGAAAAGGAAUCUGUUUUGAUCUGUGAACAUUAAAAGACAGGGAACUGAUCAUAUCCUUUUAUAACUUAUUCCAGUUGUUAACCACACACGUGGCUUAGUUCAGCACCCUAAUAUUAGAUCUUAUUCUCUCCUUCUUUACCUGGUUAAAGAGCAGUCUGGUACUCUGUUUUUCCAUUGUGACAAUACUCACACCUUCACAGUCAUCUUUCAGUGAAGACUUUUCAAUGCGCUAACCAAAAUAAACUCUUAAAAAUUUCUCACUAUAGGUAUUUUUCUAACCUUUUUUCGUGGUUCUUUAUUACAACAUCUCCAGAUUUAUACAAACAAACAAAAACAAAGCAAAACAAAUAGAAUAUUUGUAAAUUAAUUGUAAAUUAAAUCUAAUUGUAGAAUAAUGCACUCCCCUCAAGUGUCAACUGAAAAUAUUCCUAAAGUAUACCAAGUACUUAAACAACAUUUAUUCAAAUAGAAAUAUCAUAGAAUCAUAGAAUAUCCCAAGCUGGGAGGAACUGAUAAGGAUAGAGUCCAGCUCCUAUAUAGAUGGUGUUGUUUCAUAUCUAUAAAGAUAACACAUAUAUUUCUUCAUUACAAAACAAAUCUAGAAAGAAUUUGGAUAAAAAAAAACCAACCCAACAAUCUCUCCAAUUUUUAUUUUUCAUUGUAGAUCUCAACUAUUUAUGAUGUAACAGUAAAGGGGAAUAGUCAUCUUUCCCUUCCAUUUCAAAUAACACAUGUAUGGAUACUAGACAUGAAGAACAUUAAUUCAUUUUAGGAUAUUAGGCUCAGAGAAGAGUGUUCAAACAUAAUGGAGUUGACUAAUUUAGGCAUACUACGAGGCUUAAAAGUAUCUGCAAAUAUGGAAGUUUCAGACCUUAAUUCUUUCAGUUGCUAGUCAUUACAAUGAAAUAAAUUGAUUAAAACAGCAUAGUAGUUCUUGAGGCAUGUAAAUAUACAAAGAUUUCAAAAUACUACAAAAAACCUAAAAGGCUGAGCAUUUAAAGUUGGCUUUGCCAUCUCAUAAAAUCAUAGAAUCAGAAUCACUAAGGUUGGAAAAGACCCACAGGAUCAUCCAGUCCAACCAUUCUUCCUUCACCAAUGGUUCUCGCUAAACCAUGUCCCUCAACACAACAUCCAAACGCUCUUUGAACACCACCAGGGUCGGUGACUCCAUCACCUCUCUGGGCAGCCCAUUCCAAUGUUUGACCACCCUUUCAGAGAAGUAGUAUUUCCUAACGUCCAGCCUGAAUCUUCCCUGGCGCAGCUUGAAGCCAUUCCCUCUAGUCCUAUCACUAGUCACCUGAGAGAAGAGGCUGACCCCCAGCUCACUACAACCUCCCUUCAGGUAGUUAUAGAGAGCAAUAAGGUCUCCCCUGAGCCUUCUCUUCUCCAGACUGAACAAUCCCAGCUCCUUCAGCCGCUCCUCAGAAGGCCUGUGCUCCAGACCCCUCAUCAGCUUUGUUGCCCUCCUCUGGACAUGCUCCAGGGCCUCGAUGUCUUUCUUACAGUGAGGAGCCCAAAACUGGGCACAGUACUUGAGGUGCAGCCUCACCAGUGCUGAGUACAGGGGGACAAUUACUUCCCUCUUCCUGCUGGCCACACUAUUUCUGAUACAAGCCAGAAUGCCAUUGGCCUUCUUGGCCACCUGGACACACUGCUGGCUCAUGUUUAGUCUAGAGUCAAUCAAUACCCCCAGGUCCAUUUCCUCUACACAGUCUUCCAGCCACUCUGCCCCAAGCCUGUAGCAUUGCCUGGGGUUAUUGUGGCCAAAGUGCAGGAUCCGGCAUUUGGUCUUGUUGAAUCCCAUCCCAUUGGCUUCAUCCCAGCUAUCCAGCCUGUCCAGAUCCCUCUGUAGGGCCUUGCUACCCCCAGGCAGAUCGACACUUCCAGCCAGCUUGGCGUUAUCUGCAAACUUACUGAGGGUGCACUCAAUGCCCUCAUCCAGGUCGUCAAUAAAGAUAUUAAACAGGACAGGCCCCAGCACGGACCCCUGGGGAACACCACUCGUGACCGGUCACCAGCUGGAUUCAACUCCAUUCACCACAACUCUCUGGGCCCAGCCCUCCAAUCAGUUCCUUACCCAGCAUGAGGUAACCUCAUGAGGACCAUCUUAUAUCCUGCAACAAAUGCAAGGAAUCAUUGGGGUAAGAAACAGUACUCCAAUUUAUGUUGAAGAAUUUUCUCUGAGAAGGUCAAAACUGGUUACCAGCUGCAUCAUCUGCUAAGAUAAAGGCAGUGAAAAGCAGAGACACAAACAAAGAGAAGGUGAGGUGAAAUGUAGAAUAACAACAUUAAACUUCCACACUGUCUGUAGAAAAACAACAAAACUACCAAAACAGGUUACUGCCAAUCAUUUUUGAAAAAUAAGUAAAUAUCACUUAUGGUCUAAAUACUGUGGCCCUUGGUGAUUGCUCAUAAACUUCAAAAUAUUAGUGUGUUAUAAGGACAUACGCAUUUUGAUUAAAGAUUAUUCCCCUGCAGAAAUGAAAAUAAAUAUAAAUUAGAAUUUACUCUUUUAGAGAUUAUACUGACAACUAAAAUAGUACAGUAGCUUCUAUAUUGGGCUAUGCCAAAAGGGUGCCCUUAUCAGAAACCUUAAAGAUCUUGAUAGACUGAUUGAAAGACAUCCUAGAGAACCAAUAUAGUUAUUCCUGCAGCCUAAACUUGCUUAAAGAUAGCAGUGAUGUGCUCGUACAGACCAGAUGCUGUAUGCCUUAGUCAGGCCCUCAUCUAACUUUAUUCCAGUUACUUAAGAAUGCAUAUUGUCUUUUAGAACUAGUGCAAAGAAUGAUAAAUCCUUUAAAAAUUCACACAACUUUGCUUUCAUCAGAUUAAGGUAGCUUAGCAACUAGAGUAGUAUUUUAUCUGUUUUCACUGGGAUUUGGUUCCCUUUAUAGCACCCUUGAACUGACCCUGAUAGCUGGUGUUUCUAUCUUUUAUCAGCCCUGAGUCUUUUGAAUCACCAGGUCAUUGAGUUAUGAGACACUGCCAUCUUCACAUGUAUACCUACACUAGCUUAUCCUUACCAUCCAAUUUGGGUCUUUAUUAAAGAGCCAGAAAAGGCACAUCUAGGUCCUAUCUUCUGUACUAUGACAUUAAUCCCAUAGGAGAUUCACGGUCAAAAAUCUUAUAAUGUUAACUUUAUUUUCAGCAUGAAUUUAUGAUAACUAAAUAAAAUUUAUAGCCCACACACUGACAUGGCAUCUAUUUUUUUCCUUUGAGAUCUUCAAAAUGUAUACAGUAUUCUCCAACAUUUCUUAUUCACUAGCAGAGCUCCUACCAUAAAUGACUCAUCAUAGAAGGAGUGGCUUUUUUGCCCUUUGCGGCAUACUCCUUCAGCGCUGUAGCUAUGUUUCUAAAUAAAAGGCAGCAUGCUUCCAAGUUCUUUUUUUUUUUUUUUUUUUUUUCUCUCUCAGGGCUCUCCGGCUGAAAUAGAAACCCAAGUCCGCAUGGUGAUCAUAUUUGUUACCCUAGGGACUAAUUUUCUUUUACCUCCUUUCCUGUAUUCCAAAGCUUCAUUGCCAUCAUCCUCUUGCUCCCUAUGCACUAACAAAAAGAUUUUAAUGUAUUCAUUAUGCAAAAUCUUGUCUUUUGUGACCUUUGCCAAGAGUGCCCCCAAAGGACCGGCCAGGCUUAAUAAGCUCACAAAUAAACUACGAUGUCAGCCAAGGGCACUACUGGCCAAUUGAGCCUGCACCAUUGCCCUCUCCCCCAAGCUCCCUCUUCACACCUGAGAUACCCCGAGGUGGGAUUGCAGGGGUGUUGUCUGCCCUGCAAAACUGUUAAUCCUUUCCGGCAGCUCCCAGCUAGGCAAACAAUCCCCCUUUGUGAAGGCUGGAACAAUCACACAGGCAAUAUUGCCUUUGUCUCUCCUGAGAUAGACUCUGCCUUCCUUUAAGUUCCUCUUUUUCCCUUUUUCAGCCACAUUGUUUAAUGCUUUCAUUCUUCUUAUUUCAUCUAUGUUAUAUCCUGUAAAAGCUUUGUCAUGGGCAAGCCAGCUGGGUCAAUGGAGGAAAGGCACUCUCUCAUCUGAUCCCUGCGUUAGUCCUUUUUUGUCCUGUCCAGAGUUAUUGUCUAGGUUCUGCAGGGAAAGCAUCCGCUCUCCUAUUUGGUUGUUGAUGCUGUGGCAGAUUACAGUGGUUUCUGUCUGCUAAGCAGUCAGCCGAAGAAAGGAGUAAGAGAGGCAGAGCAGCCUCUUCAUUUCAUAUAUAAAAGCUGCAGAUCAAGCAUAUAAUAUCAGAGAAUAACCUAGCUGCUGAAAUUCUGAAUUUAUUGUGGAAGAAUAUAAACUUUCAAAACUCUAAAAGAAAUUGGGCUCAUAAAAGAUAGAUAUUACAAAUGUUAAUGCAAAUUAUUAGUAAAUCUGACCCCCAAUGUGUGACUAUGACAUACAUUUAAAAUUUAUUAUGGAACACAUUCAGGGGAAUAGCUUUAGGGAAUUCAUUGCUCAUCUUUCUCUUUCUUCCUCCAUCUCACACACUAGCAGUUUCCAGACAGCUUCUCUGAAUUCUUCAGAAAUACUGCCACUCUGACCUCUGUACCAUAGAUCCAUUGACUUACUUCAUUUGACUGUCUGGAGUGACAGUUAAGGUACUAGUACAACAUGUUCUCACAACUUCCUUGGCAGUGUACACAUCUUCUUUCCAGCUCAUUUCUAUAUUAUGAUGCAGAAUACUGUGGCACAGAGUACUUAAAUAAAAUCUUUCUGAGCUUCUGAAGUUUUAAUAUAUGUAGUCCAAAGAAAAAUCAGGAGCAAAUGAUGGGCUUUAGCAAGCAGCAGAAUUCACGUUACAACACCUAUCUGCUUUUGAGAGCAUGCCAAACAGAGAAGGCUAUCAAUAUCAUGAAAAGUUUUCGGUAUCAAAGUGUCAUUAGUUACAAUUACACAUCCAUAUAUUAUAUUUUAUUAUUCUUAUUUUUUUAGCUAAAAUUUUGAAUCUUUUUCUCCUUCCUCACACUUGUUUAUCUCACUUUCAAGGUUAAAAAAAAUGAACACCCUGCAAUCAUAACAUUACUUUUUUUUCAGAAAUCUUCUAAGGAACUUAAGGCCAGGUUUUCAUAGAUGCAGAAAAUUUAGGCAAUACCGUGGGUGCUCAUCACUGUAAAAACCUGGUUUCUGAGUUUAAAACUCCUUUGGUAAUGAUCUUAUGUAACUCUUCUCAAUGCCAUAAUGACAGUAUAGUGCCUCCAACAUUUUAAAGAAAAAAAAGUAAGCAAACAAACAAAUAGAGAAAAUGCACAAAACUCUUGUCAAACCCAGAAAACUUCUCAUUUAACCAGGUUCCAUUUGCAAAUGUAGAAAACAAUAUAUCUGUUAAUCUGACAGGAUACAGCAAUAUCAGGAUAACACAUUUGCCAUAUGUGGAACUGGACUGUAGCCAUUUGUUCUUUUAACAUGUACUUCAGACACUCAGACUGCAUACAGUAGGUUCUAAUUAUCUGUCCAGAAGCUCAGGAAGAAAAAAUAAAGUAUCUUUUCUGCCUUCUUGCUCUCAGGAUAAGAAAAAGCCUCCAAAUACUGUAAUAAAAAUGAAAGAAAGGGGCUAGAAGGACUAUAAUAUUCAUCAAAAUCUGAGGAGAGAAAAAAAAAGGAAAGGAAAACAAAAGGCACAUGUCAAUAAAUACAAGAAACACCCACCCCGUAUUACUGUGGUUACUAACUGCUAACAAUGAGCCUCUGGCAGUGAGGUGUGCAGACAAAAGGCCCUUGAGAAGUUGUACUGCUGCAUCCUGUAUAAUAGUUGAAACCUAUGAGUGUUUUUCAAGGUUAGGCACAAAUAAAGCAAAAUUUCUUUAUUAAGGCUCCAAAUUACUCAUCUUCUCCUACAUUUCAGUCCAUUGUGGGGCUCUGAGUACUGUAACUGACCUUUGAUAAACAGUCAUUUCACCACAGUGAUGAGACUUCAUAAAGACAGGUCUGCACAAUAUAAUGCAGAUUAACUGAGGGGCAUUCCAGCUUUUCUUAAAAAUAAGCUAGAAUGACACCAGAGAAUUUGCUCAUAAUCUAGUCGGUUGCACGUGCACAUAUUCUUUGUGAGUGAAAUUUCUUUCCAAUGAGAUAAUUUAAAAAAUUAAGAAAUUACGUCUGUCUACGUGGAUAGAGCAAUUUAAAAUAUUUCCUUCAAAGGAGAAUCUAUUUAAUGCUUUGUCACAGGUAUGAAUGAACUGAUGAUCCAGUGUUCAUAUGCCUCACUACACAAUGAGGUUGAUCACUGAUGUUACAGACAGAGGAAAAAAACCUGCAAAUGCGAAGUUGUUAUAGGUUGUGUCAUGAAUAAGUUUCAAGCUUCUGAGUGAAACCAGUGAGUAAGCUAGUAUUGUAAAACUUGCACAUUUAUGUAGAGGUAAAACCAAGUAAAUAAAGAAGGUGGCAUGAAAGAUCAGAGAAAGUGAUCAUGACAUACCAAAGGUAGUCUGAAAUGUUGACAAGAGAUCCAGCCAAAUUAAUUUGUUUAUAAAGUUUCAUGAGCAAAGCCAUGUUAACGGUGUAGUAUUGUUUACUAUUUACAUGAUCAAUUAUCAAUAUCAAUUUGCAAAGGUGUUUUAGGACACCAAUAAGAAAGUCAAAGGGAAUAAGAUGAAAAGAUUACCACUAGAACUAGCAGUACCACUUUGUUGCAUUGCACUUUCCAGCUUCUGUCAUUAUAGCUGGACCCAAUUUAUCCUUUUCUCAUUUUGCAGGAAAAAAAAUCAUAAAAGGCACUAGAGAUGAAAUGAUCAGUAUUAUUGUCAAGGCAUUUUAAACAAGAAUGCAGAGUCCUUGGGCCAGAGCUCCAGCAGUUCAAGGCAAUCUUUAAUCCAGCUUUGUUUCUUUUUCCUGUGUUCUCAAUUUGUAUGUCUUGAUGCCCAUUCGAAAUGAAGUCUCUAAAUUACAUUACAAAAGGCAGUUGUCUUUUCAGAGAAGAAGCUGUAAAACUGAACUAGAAUAAUGCCACACAUUAUUACUGAAAUGGCAAUAUCCAAAAGUCCAUGAAAAUAAAAUCUGCACUUGAGGAUACAGAUAAUUGAUUCACCUAAACAAAAUGCUGUAGUCUAUAAAUAGCACUGUAAAAGGCCAAAGUACUGUUCUUGCAGGAAACAAAUUUUCUAAUACCACUUUUAAUCUUCAGAACUCUUGGAUUGCACUCGAUGAGAGGUAAAACCAUUUUUAAGAGCUAAAUGGCUUUAUUUUCAGAAUUUCCAAGCAGUUAGAGCACCCAGCAGUUUCAAUGGAAACUGCAGGUGCUCAGGACUACUUGAAAAACUGUUAAUACAUGUAUCUUUUAUAUAUACAUACAUAAAUAUUCAUAUAUUAGAAGUAUCCUCCACAUAUGUAGCCAUCAGUAUUGAAAACAUUUAUCAUAAAGGCAAUACAAAAGUACAACAAUGCACAAUACAAAUGGAACAUCCCUAAUGUAGGCUAUGGGCAGCACCAAAAAACCCAACAAAAUGGUAGAUUAGAGAAGCUUUGUGGGUAUCAUCUUGCUGUCUGGAUUUUCUCCACUGAUUUAAAUGGGAGUGAGCCCCACAUACAAAGAGCAUUAAUCAUAGAAUCAAAGAAUCAUAGAAUCACAGGAUGGAUUGGGUUGGAAAGGGCCUUGAGGAUCAAACUGUUCCAACUUCCCCUGUCAUGGACAGGGCUGUCACCUGUAGGACAGUUUUGCCAUCCAAAUGUUGAGAUUUAAACUAUUUUUCUUAUUUGAUAGAACAUAAAAAUCAAGUAACAUGGGAGAAAAUGUUAAGGAAAAUAAUUGCCUGAGGAAAAUUGAAGAGAUAGGUUUUCUACUGCCAGUGUAACUUGUUGGCUGUUGAUUUCUGAAGCUGGUUCCUCUGCUAAACAUAAGCCCCAGAAAAUAUUCAUAGUAAUUGCAAUUUUUGAGGCAUGCAGUUCAAUUUAUGUAGUCAGUCAAAUUUACGCAGUUUAACAGAUUCCUUGAUUCUUGUCUUGCUUUUUCAUUAAGCCCUUUAAACUGGACUUCUUGUCAAUAAAUAAAACUAUUGACGUUAAAAGGUCACAUCUGUGACCUUUCACAUGUUUCUCCAGCUCUGUAUCUAUAUACACUGUAUACUUUACCUCAAGAAGAGAUUCUUUUAUUUAAGAGAGCUUAAACUGUUCAAAUUUGUAAUGUACUGGGGAUUUUGGAAUAUCUAGAGGGCUUAGUGGAUAAAGAACUGACCUUUCAUCUCUGAACUUGGUUCCCAUCCAGUGUAAGAUAAGUGAAAGAGUUUUGUGUCAGCUGCCCACAUGAUAUAACUAGCUUUACCUUGUAUUAUUCAACACAAUUUGGCAUGACUGGCAGUUUUUUCCUCUCAGGAGAAGCACACUGAAUAUGGAAAAUGAAUUGCUUCUGUCUCCAGAGAGGGUGGUCCUCCAGGUUAGGCUUUGAAGUUAUAAAUGGGAUGUGCUGGAUAGCUCGUAUUAUUGCUGGUUGCCAGAUCCACAUCAAAUGUAUGGAUAAACAGCAGGUCACAGUUUUAAAUAAGCAAUAGAAGAUGAUUUACAAAUAGAAACAUAUAACCACUUAUGUGUCUUUUCCUCAACUAAAUGGAAACUAUGCAAUGUAGCCCAAAGUAGAUGUGAGUAAUUCCAAUGUCUGCACUCACUCCUAUAGGUAGUAAAUUUCUACAUAUAUUGUAAGGGAAUAUGUUUAUGUAUUUUCCCCCAGGAAAAAAAAAAAAAAAAUCUCUGGAUUUCCAUAACGCUACAACUCCCUUAUUUGUCUCUGUGUAAGGCUCCACAGAAACCACUGUGCAAGAGGAGGGCGACCUGCCUCCACCCCGACUAGUGCCACUUCCAAAAAACCACUUCAAGGUGCUGCGCUCCCCAGCCCAUGGAGCUGCUCUCUUCUCACCAGCCAAGCAUCGAACCGCACCCUCUGCGGGGAUUGCUCGUCUCUGAGGGGAGCCCAAGAGCCAGUAAUCAAAGACAGGUCCCCAGCAUGGCAUGGCGAUGCCCAAACUGUAAUGAUGGGGUUUUGUUUUCUGCUGGAUACAGUGCUCUUCCACUGGGAAUAUAUGUAUUUUAAAAGAAGUUUUGAUUUAUUUUGAUUAGAAUUAUGUACUGCGUCUCUGUGACAAACUUUAAAAAGAAACCAACAGACUGAAAUGUGAAUUCAGUUCAUUUUGUUACUGAAACUCAGAACCUGCAAUCAGUUAGCAUGCACCCAGUAAUUAACUGGAUUUCUUCUGUCUGGUGAAUGCAUUAAUUAUCUGCAAUACAACAUAAUGCUCCCUCUUUUCUUGCAGUCCUUGGAACUAAGUUUGUUUCAUUUGAUACUUUUUAUGACUCUUCAGUAAUAUAAAACCAUUUUUAAAAUAGCAAUAAAAAACUGCUCUGCAAGUAUUUCUGGAGACAAGAUAUUUUUAUAAACAAGAAAACCCACCUCAGUGGCACUCAUUGAUUAUAUUUAUCUUUAUGAUUUAUCUACACAUCACACAGAUGGAAUUUUUCAGAAAUGCCAUAAACUGCAAUUUGAAACCAUGUCCACCUAUUGCUUGUCUCACAGCUCUGAUCUCAUGUUAAAAAAAUCAAGGGAAUAAAUUUCCUGUAAAGAUAAUGACAUCUUUGGAAUGUUAAUAGUACAAAACUUUCAAAAGGCAAAAUUAUUUCUUCGCUGAACUAGCAGAUUGGCUUAGUCCAUUUUGCACCUUUGUGCUAGAGAAUGGCUGGGUUUAAAUUACAGCAGCUUCAGUCUUUGCUUUUCAAUCCCUUAAUCCUUAAGGAGCAGAGGUUUCAGUUCAAGACAACUUCACACAGAACAUAAGAAAAGAUUCUGUGAGCCUACCUCAAGUAUGAUGAUCAUUUUUUCAGCUGUAAUCUUUCACUUGCAUCCCAUAGCAAAAAGAAAAAAAAAAAAAAGGGGGAAAAAAAAGACUGAGGAAAACCAGUGUCAAAUAAUUAAUGCAUUUUCAAUCAAGGUUUGCUUUUCACUAUGGUUUAAUGCUCAUGCAUGAAAAGCAAUAAAUACUUU
This 32759-nucleotide long non-coding RNA is filed under the name Gallus gallus (chicken). Lineage: Eukaryota; Metazoa; Chordata; Aves; Galliformes; Phasianidae. The record is from RNAcentral.